This 253-nucleotide ribosomal RNA is filed under the name uncultured bacterium. Its description in RNAcentral is "partial 16S ribosomal RNA". It matches the Rfam family "Bacterial small subunit ribosomal RNA", at positions 524 to 776 of the family's 1533-position model. The record is from RNAcentral.
UACGAAGGGUGCAAGCGUUACUCGGAAUUACUGGGCGUAAAGCGUGCGUAGGUGGUUUGUUAAGUCUGAUGUGGAAGCCCUGGGCUCAACCUGGGAACGGCAUUGGAAACUGGCUUACUAGAGUGCGGUAGAGGGGUGUGGAAUUCCCGGUGUAGCAGUGAAAUGCGCAGAUAUCGGGAGGAACACCUAUGGCGAAGGCAGCUCGCUGGGACGUUACUGACGCUGAGGUGCGAAAGCGUGGGGAGCAAACAGG